Long non-coding RNA from Halichondria panicea, 5450 nucleotides. RefSeq lists it as uncharacterized. The transcript is spliced from 15 exons. The record is from RefSeq and is a predicted model, not a curated record. Lineage: Eukaryota; Metazoa; Porifera; Demospongiae; Suberitida; Halichondriidae.
CUUAGCACCUAUUGGGGUGUAAAUAAGAGAUUGAGUUACUAUUGGGCAUACAGGACAUGUAAUGGGUAAAAAAAGUACCUAUUGAGCGUAUAUAUACAUGCACGUACUAGUGAUUAUCAAAGCCAAAACUUUGUUCCCCGAAGGUGUCCGUUUUAUGUAGACCACUUAAACUUUGUGCAAUGCUGACAUGUAAUGUCUAAACAACCUCUGCCACCUCUCUUUUUUGAGAGGCUUCAGUAGUUACGUAUCUACCUCCCUAAAAAUCUCUCUAAAUGCUGAGAAAUUAUCGGUGUUUUCUUCUGGUUCACAGACUGAGUUCAUUGUAGACAGUGAGGAGUGUGCACAGGGCCAGAGACACGGGAGCAAGCCUGGCAUCUCUCUCCAGUUUGAUGGCCACUGGGACCCAUCGCCAGCAUCAGCUCUUACCGGACAGCUGGGAAAACGUACGUGCUUUAUUUUAAAAGAAUGCCAGCCUGUUUUGAAUACAUUUUGUUAUGGGCAGUCAAAGAUAGUUGCAAAUGCCUCUGUAACAUUAUUCUAUGUACAUCUAGUCCGUCAAUUGGACACUAUUGGGUACGUACAUGUAUCCACUUUUUCAGUGGUGCUCCCUUUCUUGCACUGGGCGUAAGCACACAAACAGAGUGCUUAUACACUACACUUAUACAAGUAUGUAUUUCCUACUAAGUCAGUAGAGCUACUUUUUAGCUUAUUCUGUCUGAUCAUGUGUAUCAUUAUUAUUGUGGGGGGGGGUAUUAUUGCGUAUUAUUGCGUAUCAUGUGCGUUUUCUUGAACUUUGACCUCGACUGCCAAGUACGAGUACGAGUGGCAACCCAGAGUAAGGAAGUUACAAAUCUGCAUUAUACCCUACACCUACAAGACAUGAGUCAAAUACAUACAUGUAUGUAUAGCAUCAUACCAAUCGGCCUGAUACAAAAGAAAAAGCAUGUACCAUGACCGUCGGUUCUUGCACGUCCCUCCAAAUAAGCUGAAAGUAAACUCGAAGCAGCCACCCUCCCAACCAGCUCAACAGGUAGAGUUCAUGGGGAGCAGUGAUAUGAGAAUGAAGCAGCUAAGGAUGAUAUCAAAGAAUAGGAACAUAAAGCGAAUGACCUCGUGGAAUACGCUGGACGGCUCGCUUGUUGGGUUGUGAGAGGAAUCUUCCAUGCUGGUUGCACUGUUGCUCAACUUGGUCCAACCCGCUCCUGUCUCACACUCUCAUCAUUCAUGGGGAUUACCCCGCCCACCUACCAUUUGGGGCUGUGCCUCUGUUGGCUACUAGUAAGUAAGCCAGGCUGUUGUUACAACGACUCUAACAGUGUGUACAACAAGAAUUUUUGCGGACAAUAACCUCUGUAACACUUGGGUCAGACGAUGGUGUAACUGCCCCAAGAAAGGGUAUGAUGUGCACAAGGAAGAACUGUCAUUUAGAGCGUCUGGACGACCAACGAGGGAGCUGGCCGAUCAUCUCAGUAAGAUCGGAUCGUAGCGAAGGAACUCGUGACCAGCUACAAAAGGGGUUAACUUGUGAUGAGGAUGACUAUAAAAACUGGCCCCGUAGCAUCGACCUGUCGCCUUCCGUUCUACAGCUAAGUGGGGAGCAAGCCCAGCAUACAUCCAGUUUGAAGGCCACUGGGGACCCUAUCACCAGCCAUUUCUGUUGAGUGAUUGGGAGCAGAGCAACGAUAUCGAAACAGAAAUAGAAAGUGAAUGACCUCGCGACUGAGAGUUACGCCCUGAAGGAAGACGUAAAGCUGGACUUACUGGAGACUGCUGCCAGAAAAAAGUGGUUGACUCCUUCGGAAAGUUCAGACUGAGUUUAUUGUAGACAGUGAGGAGUGUGCACAGGGCCAGAGACACGGGAGCAAGCCUAGCAUCUUUCUCCAGUUUGAUGGCCACUGGGACCCAUCGCCAGCAUCAGCUCUUACCGGACAGCUGGGCAAACGUGAUGUACAGUUUGGAUUCAUUGAGAAUGACGCUAUUUUGAUGUGAGGAACUGAACUGGCAGUAUUUAAACAGUUACAGUCAAGAGAUGACCAUCGAGAGGCCUCUCUUCCAAUCGAACGCUACCAAGGUCACACACAGGAGGUGUGCAGACUCAGAUGGUCACCUGACGGUCAGCUCUUAGCCUCAGGUGGAGAUGACAACUAUGAUGUUUUCAGAGUACGAAGCUUGCAUGUACGUGUACGUGUACUUUAGAUUGAGUCAUCCAAUGCAAAUGUUCCUACACAAAGAUGCCUCUCAAUCAGGCAAAUAAGCAAAUAAGCAAAUAAGCAAAUAAAGCCUCUCUAUAGAAAACCCGUUUUCAGGUGCACCUGCACAGCAUGUAUAUCUCCCACUCACUUUUAGUCGCAUCAUUUAUAAUAGGGUCACAGGCCAAUGUUACGAGCUGUUGUAUACGCUUGCCCUCCCCCCUGUGCUCAAUUAGACACUAAUGUACUUUUUGUUAAACCAUAGAUACAGGAAGAGAGGGAUUGGCAACAAAAGCGCCUCGAAUAGCCAUCCGUGUUUCCCUGCGGUUUAAUUGAGGCCGCCUACUUUCAACGUUGGGAAAAAUGGCCAGACACAAAAUAAGAGACAAACGAUUGUUUUACUGUCAGUAUAAGAAUUUUGCUGCUUAACUUUCAGUUCAAUGCAGUGCUUUAGGCCAUAUGCUACACAGUACACUACUUAGUUAGGCAGCUCUAGCUAUAUUAUAGUAGCAGGAGGUACAUAGUGUCGCAUGUACCUCUAGCUACUUCACAACAAUUGAAAUUAUGUUUUUGUCAUCUCUAAAUGAUGCCUACAAGCAAGGGGCAUCGAAUAGAAGUGUUUUGGGGGCUUGGAAAGGUUGCCAUAAAGGUUGUUCUACCGCGUUGGGGAGGGAAACACGGAUGGCUUGUCAAGCUCUGUAUUGAUUUCAUGUAAUUUUAUAUGUGGCUUAUGGGCGCACGUGAUCCGUUGCCAAUCCCUCUCUUCCUGUAUAUAUGGUUAAACAAGCUGUUGCAUACGCUGUGCCCCCCCCCCGUGUUCCAUUAGACUAUUAUAAUAACGUACUUUUUGUAUGUUAUACAUGUAUACGCUGUGCCCCCCCCCCCGUGUUUCGUUAGACUUUUUAUGUGUUGUAUACGCUCUGCCCCCCCUGUGUUCCAUUAUAGUGUUAUAAUAAUGUAUGAUCGACUCUUUAUCAGAGAUAGGACCUUUGUCUCACAUAGUGUUUAUUGUCUAGUGGGUCUUUACCGGCUGUUUUGGCUCAUUAUGACUGUUACUUAUCCAUUCUAAAGUCUUUACCCACUAAUCGAGGCACGCGUGUCGUAUACCUCCUCUGCUCUUGAACUGUGACAUACAUUCGAGAAUAAUGGUAUAACAAGUGCAAAAAACAUUUUUAGGAGAGUAGGGUUGGAAGAGCAUGUGCUCUUGAACUGUGACAUACAUUCGAGAAUAAUAGGAUAACAAGUGCAAAAAACAAAAAUGGGGAAGAGUUAUUGGACAGAGUUCAGAUAACAAUAGAGAUCACAGAAAGACGCACAAACAUGAGUGAAAUAAGCUUCAUCACAGGCAGAUAAUUAUACAAUGUGACUUAUAUGCAGGAAGCGGCUUGUUUGCCAAGGUGGUUUGAACACCAAUACUCGCUGGGGAAGUCUGCACUUUAUUGUGUCCACAUCAUCAUGCUACAUGUAGGUGGUUCCACCCAAUUUCAUAGCUCCGUGGAGGGUCACAGCGAUCCCUACUCAACUGGUAGUCAGUGACCGCCUACGACGUUAGUAUUUAGCUUUUUUUCACAGCAAUAUUUUCUUUUUUGCAGCUCUAGUGAAUUUCUCUAUAGCAACACUUUCAUGGAUCUAAUUACCAACCAGGAAUUUGGCUGCCGAUUCACUCACAUUGAGAACGACAGAGAUCAAGAGACAAGACUCGAUCAGACACAUACACCACUCCAGGUAUGGCAAAGACCAACUCGUUCUUUUGGGACGAUUGUACAUAUUGCUAGGUUGUACAAAGACGUUAUCUCCUCCGCAGUGGGAGCCUAGGGUUUGGGAUCACCAAGCACCUCCAGUGACUGUCAGCAGAUUGCUGUAAAAGGUGAGGGUUACAAAGUAAUGUGUUAAACCAGCAUGUAUGUAAAUUUAUAAUGCAAUACUAGCCAUGUACGUGCAUUUUAUCUCCACAGUUAAUAAAUUAUCCCUGACUCUGUCAUAAUCCAUGUACACGCAUGUACCUAAAGUGUCUGUUUCGUUAUAUACGUGUGUCCAUUACAAAUGGUUGUGAUCCUCCAACUGUGUGUGUACCUCUAACUCUAAACCAUUGGAUAUCACCAUCCCCUCAUGUCCUUCUACCCACGCAUUUCUGUGUCUUACAUGGGGAGGUAUGAGUUAGCUAGCCAGGCCAAGAAACCUGGUUCAGAGCUAGCCUCUUUAUAUACAUGUCGUCGUGUGUGCUAACAGUAGUACUGAUAAUUUGCUUUUAGUGUUAUGUAUUGCAUCUCUUGUCCUUGCAGAGAACAAUUAGCUUGUGAAAGCGUGACCCUAUAUACCCAUUGGAGAUGAAGCCAAUUUAUUGUGUAGGGGGUAUUUACCGUAUUUUUUUGUCUCAGUGUGUUGUGAUUCGUGUCCCAACGACAGUGCUGGCUGCUUGACAGAAGUGAUUGACCAAUGGAUGAAGGGUUGGUCUGGACGACCAACAUGGAGUGAGCUGGCCAAUCUCGUCUCAGUAACAUAGGAGAGGAGCAAGUACAUGUAGCAAAGGAACGUGUGACCAGCUACGAGUCUGCCUCAAGGUCAAUACGAGCGAACUUAUUUCAACAUACGAGUAUUCAAUCCUCACAACAACAAUUCAACAGACAAUCGACCUUAGCCAGCACUAUAACGGGAAAUUGAACAUUUUCCAUUCACACCACUUGUUAUGUCUGCCACUGGACGUUGACCACGGAAGACACAACCUUUUACAGAAGGCUAGCCGUGCCUUGCUGACAAAUGGGAGCACUCGUACUCAUCUACUAUGGCAUGGCUCUGUUGCCGAUUGACUUUCUCACUGCUACGUUCUCCCAUAUAGUGUAUUCGUGGUGCUCGCUCCAAUUAUCGUCAUUAAACUGUAUACUAUAGCUUUACCUUUAUUUUAUUUUUUCUGUAUAUAUUUUAAAGGGGACACUCCCCCCCACAAAAAAACAAAAACAACAACAACUAAGUAUUCAGGCAAAGACUACAUUUUGUAUUAUGUUAUUGAUGUUUAGCAUUGAUACAUAGCAGUAUUUGGUCCCACUACAACUUGUGUUUCUCAUUAAUUUUACUUUUCUAAUAGUACGUUGAGUAUAUCAAAGCUAAUCUAAACUUUGAGCAUGCAGUAUGCAGUACUACUAGGAGUGUGCCCUGGUACUACGUGGUACAAUGUUAUGCAUAUGUACAUUGUUUGCAGAGUGAGUUUGACACCUAACAAUGUACGUACUGAGAAAAAUUAAUACAGCCAGGAUCGAGAAAACA